This 252-nucleotide ribosomal RNA is filed under the name uncultured bacterium. RNAcentral's name for it is "partial 16S ribosomal RNA". It matches the Rfam family "Bacterial small subunit ribosomal RNA", at positions 524 to 776 of the family's 1533-position model. The record is from RNAcentral.
UACGUAGGCAGCGAGCGUUGUUCGGAAUUACUGGGCGUAAAGAGUGUGUAGGCGGUGCUCUAAGUUCGGUGUGAAAUCUCCUGCUUAACUGGGAGGGUGCGCCGGAAACUGGGGUGCUCGAGCGUGGGAGAGGAAAGCGGAAUUCCUGGUGUAGCGGUGAAAUGCGUAGAUAUCAGGAGGAACACCUGUGGUGUAGACAGCUUUCUGGACCAUUGCUGACGCUGAGACACGAAAGCGUGGGGAGCGAACAGG